Mastomys coucha (southern multimammate mouse) is the source of this 433-nucleotide long non-coding RNA. RefSeq lists it as uncharacterized. The record is from RefSeq and is a predicted model, not a curated record. The transcript has 2 exons. Lineage: Eukaryota; Metazoa; Chordata; Mammalia; Rodentia; Muridae.
CCUAAAGGGGACAUCUCUAUCACCACCAUGACCGCCCUGCUCACUACCACCCACCUAAGGCUCGGGAAACAUCAGGGAAGAGGGCAUGGGACGAAUGUAAGAGGCAAGGAUGGGGAGGAGUGCCGUGGAAUGCUGUCUUCAGGUAUGACAGAGUCAUUCGGCCCUGUACUCAAGAACUCACAACAGCCAUGGUUAUCUCAACAAACCUGCACAAGAUCCAGCCAGUCAGCAUACCUACAUGGAUGAAGGAGGGGGACAAGGCAGAGUAGGGCGGUUGGCGAAAUCUCGGGGCCUCAGAGACUCCAGACCAGCACUGUCGUCCUCAGCAGACUGGAAUCUGCCAGGACCAUGGAGGGAGUCGGCUUCAUCCAACAACUGUGUAGUGUUUCCAUUCCCAUAUCAACUAUGCAGAAUUAAAAGUUUGAUUUCUACA